This is a long non-coding RNA of Sycon ciliatum, 2416 nucleotides long. RefSeq lists it as uncharacterized. The record is from RefSeq and is a predicted model, not a curated record. The transcript has 2 exons. Lineage: Eukaryota; Metazoa; Porifera; Calcarea; Leucosolenida; Sycettidae.
AAAUGCCGUUGGGAGCCUUCUCAGGUUGUAGAGAUGUUGGGUAUGGUGGUUGACCUACGCGUUGGAGCCAUCCGAGCCUCCGAAAAGCGUGUUAAAAAGCUUAAGUCGAUGCUCAGCACAAUGUCAGGUAGCAGGCAACCAUCAGCUAAGCUGGUAGCAAGGAUGACUGGAAUGAUAAUGUCCAUGUCGCUGGCCCUGGGCCAGAUUUGCAGGCUGAGGACUAGAGCAUUCUACCACAUGAUCCUAUUGAGGAAGUCAUGGGCAGCUCAAACAGUUUGGUCAAAGGAGGCAAUUGAUGACCUGAAGUUCUGGAAAGAAUCUUUUGACAAAUUGCAUGGCCAGCCUUUCUGGAAGAAGGACCCACGUGUUGUAGUUAUCUGUCGGUCAGAUGCCAGCGACACUGGCGGGGGAGGUUUCAUGGAGGGGAGGUUGGGUGUGCAUGUUGCGAAGGGUGAAUGGCCAGGUGAAAUCAAAGAAAAGAGACUAAGUUCUACUUGGCGUGAGCUUAGGGCUGUUAAGCUUGUUCUGGAGUCAUUGGCACCAAAGAUUGCUGGGAAGGCUUGCAUACAUCGCACAGACAACCAGGCAGCGGCACACAUUAUUGAAAACGGUAGCCGCAAAGAGCAUCUGCAAGAGGAAGCUAUAGGCAAUACACAAAUUGUGCAGGCGUUUUAGCGUGAGGAUUAGGGCAGAAUGGGUACCUCGGGAAGAGAACGAGCUGGCUGAUUAUUAUUCGAAGGUUGUUGACCAAGACGAUUGGCAAUUGAACCCUGCAUUAUUCCGGGAAAUGGAAGGGAGAUGGGGCCCCUACAGCCUAGAUUGUUUUGCCAGUUUUAAGACUAAGCAGCUCAGUAAGUACUGCUCCCGGUGGUGGAACCCAGAGUGCUUUGCGAUUGAUGCGUUCACAGUGGAUUGGUCCAUUGAAAGGGUGUGAAUGGUUCCCCCAAUCUACCUUAUUUCACGUACAAUCGAUAUGCUGCUAGCAUGCAGAACCCAUGGCACUCUCGUUGUACCAGAGUGGCGGUCAGCCCCAUGGUGGCCAAAAUUGCAUGACGGUGCUGCGUGGUACGGAUUUGUGAAAGAGUGCGUGUGGUUGCCAAAGGAUGAGAAUACAUUCUUGCAGGGGUCAUGCCCAUGGAAUUUGUUUGGUUACGGCAUGCCGAAGUCCGAGAUCAUUGCUUUGAAAUUGUGCGCAGUUAGUGGCUGUGAUUGCUGACAGCAUACCUGGCGCGUGUUUGUAUGCGGGAGAGCCUGAGUAUGUCUGACGGUGCAUGAAAUGAGAGCUUGCGGAAGUUUGCCUCCAUGCUACAGGUGCGGUAGGGCAAGUGCUAUAGGCACACAUACAGCUAUAAGCUCCCCGGUUAACACGUACAGAUGUAUCAACUCGAAGUUGCACCCAGAGCACUAGCUUCGCAAAGAGGCAUACAUGGACACUACAGGUGUUAACCCGAGCAGCAGGCAUGAUAAGGGUGAAAGCUACAGGCUUACAAUUAUGACCCAAGGUGCUGCGGCAGAGCCAGCCGAGCGCGGACGCUACAAGCAAUCGAGCUAAGGGGGAGGAGGCAGUCAGUGGCGCAGAAGUAAUCAUGCUGUUCUCCGACUGUGUGCUACAGGCAAGUAAAGUCAACAGCCAGAACGCAUGUCUCGCUGCUUGGCAGUCUAUAUGCCGCCAGCUAUGCUUUGUGCUUCUUGGAGCAGCUGUUGCUGCGACCCUGCAGUUCUGUUGUUGUUGUGGUGUGUACGAGAGAGUCGAAAAGAAAUGCCUCAUUUCUUGUUGGAUGAGAGCAACGAAGUAAACAAGAAAUGCUGUUCUUUUCGAAACGCGAGUGCACAGUCCAGAGUUCACGGACUGUGCUGGGAGUGCGGUACGCACUGGCUGCACAGUGCGGAGUUGCAGCAUGCACAUGAAGGUGCAUGCUGGUCUGAAGACAGUGUUCUUUUUGUUCUUGCACUGCUGCUGUACAGUUGCGAAUCCCACCCACCCACCCAAUUGGAUAGUCAUUGCUAGAUAUGUAUGUGCAUAUGGAUUUAUUGGCUGAGUAAGCAGUAGUGCGUGUAUGUGGCGAGCAUGUUUCCGUGUGUGGGCCAAUUUCAGAUAAUUCUGUAUUAAGGUAGCACAUUGGCUUUAUUUAGACUGGCCCAUUUGGGGUUAUUCAGCAUCUCCACCAUUGUCGCUGGCGGCAAUUCCCAUUAAUCAGUGCACUAGGCCGUGGUGAACGCAUUUCGAUCGGAGGUUCAUGUAUCCAUUGUCCCAUGGCUUGGAUCGUGUACUGUCUUGCGUUGUUUUCCUUUUGUUAUGCUAAAGUGAUGUGUACCAGGCUGCCAUGAUUAUGUUUAAAUGCUGUGUGCCUGUGGCAUAGUAAUAUUAAUACACAUGCGGUGCAAGAAUUGGAGCAGCUGUUGCUGCGACCCUGCA